AAAAAAAGGCGUUUGCAAUCAUGAACUUGAGUGCAGCCUUGUGUCCUUGUGUCAGUAGCUUUAUGUUCCCUCGUUCUGACGCUGGUACAAGCAUUUUUGAAGAAAAAAUGAAAUACGAAGGAAAUACAUAUUCCCUCCGUCACGAAGAGUGCAAUUCUACGAGGGGUAGCGUGAGAAGAGUCCAAUAUUCUUAUUUGUUGGCCACAUACAGUAAGUUUUGGU
This 222-nucleotide long non-coding RNA is filed under the name Setaria italica (foxtail millet). Its description in RNAcentral is "long non-coding RNA (SITA_LNC003497)". The record is from RNAcentral. Lineage: Eukaryota; Viridiplantae; Streptophyta; Magnoliopsida; Poales; Poaceae.